RNAcentral lists this ribosomal RNA (615 nucleotides) under Anthracocystis panici-leucophaei. RNAcentral's name for it is "LSU rRNA". It matches the Rfam family "Eukaryotic large subunit ribosomal RNA", at positions 68 to 662 of the family's 3401-position model. Lineage: Eukaryota; Fungi; Basidiomycota; Ustilaginomycetes; Ustilaginales; Ustilaginaceae. The record is from RNAcentral.
CCAAGGAUUCCCCUAGUAGCGGCGAGUGAAGAGGGAAGAGCCCAAGAUUGAAAGCUGGCGUCUUCGGCGUCCGCAUUGUAAUCUCAAGAAGUGUUUUCCGCUUCGGACCAUGCCUAAGUCCCUUGGAAAAGGGCAUCAUAGAGGGUGAUAAUCCCGUACAUGGCAUGGAGCGCCCGAGGCUUUGCGAUACGCUUUCUAAGAGUCGAGUUGUUUGGGAAUGCAGCUCAAAAUGGGUGGUAAAUGCCAUCUAAGGCUAAAUAUUGGGGAGAGACCGAUAGCGAACAAGUACAGUGAUGGAAAGAUGAAAAGAACUUUGAAAAGAGAGUUAAACAGUACGUGAAAUUGCCAAAAGGGAAGGGUAGGAGGUCAGAGAUGCGUCUUGGGAUUCAGCCUUGCAUUUUGUUUGGUGUUUUUCCCAAGUUUGCAGGCCAACGUCGGUUUUGGGCACUGGAGAAGGGUGGAAGGAAUGUGGCACCUCUCGGGGUGUGUUAUAGCCUUCUACUGGAUACAGCGACCGAGACCGAGGACAGCAGCGUACUCGCAAGAGCGGGCCUUCCGGCACCYUUACGCUUACGGCGUUGGCAUAAUGGCCCUCUACCACCCGUCUUGAAACAC